AGCAUAUCAAUAAGCGGAGGAAAAGAAACCAACAGGGAUUGCCCCAGUAACGGCGAGUGAAGCGGCAACAGCUCAAAUUUGAAAUCUGGCCCCCCGGCCCGAGUUGUAAUUUGGAGAGGAUGCUUUUGGCGCGGCGCCGUCCGAGUUCCUUGGAACAGGACGCCACAGAGGGUGAGAGCCCCGUACGGACGGACGCCUAGCCUCUACAAAGCUCCUUCGACGAGUCGAGUAGUUUGGGAAUGCUGCUCAAAAUGGGAGGUAAAUUUCUUCUAAAGCUAAAUACCGGCCAGAGACCGAUAGCGCACAAGUAGAGUGAUCGAAAGAUGAAAAGCACUUUGAAAAGAGGGUUAAAAAGUACGUGAAAUUGUUGAAAGGGAAGCGCCUGUGACCAGACUUGCGCCCCGCGGACCACCCGGCGUUCUCGCCGGUGCACUCCGCGGGGCGCAGGCCAGCAUCGGUUCUCCUAGGGGGACAAAGGCCGCGGGAACGUAGCUCCUUCGGGAGUGUUAUAGCCCGCGGCGGCAUGCCCCUGGGGGGACCGAGGACCGCGCUUCGGCAAGGAUGCUGGCGUAAUGGUCACCAGCGACCCGUCUUGAAACACGGACCAAGGAGUCAAGCAUUGGGGCGAGUGUAUGGGUGCCAAACCCGCACGCGAAAUGAAAGUAAACGCAGGUGAGAGCUUCGGCGCAUCAUCGACCGAUCCUGAUGUCUUCGGAUGGAUUUGAGUAAGAGCCUUACCGCUUGGACCCGAAAGAUGGUGAACUAUGCCUGAAUAGGGUGAAGCCAGAGGAAACUCUGGUGGAGGCUCGCAGCGGUUCUGACGUGCAAAUCGAUCGUCAAAUUUGGGCAUGGGGGCGAAAGACUAAUCUAACCAUCUAGUAGCUGGUUACCGCCGAA
This 897-nucleotide ribosomal RNA is filed under the name Sporothrix dimorphospora. Its description in RNAcentral is "LSU rRNA". It matches the Rfam family "Eukaryotic large subunit ribosomal RNA", at positions 37 to 965 of the family's 3401-position model. Lineage: Eukaryota; Fungi; Ascomycota; Sordariomycetes; Ophiostomatales; Ophiostomataceae. The record is from RNAcentral.